Molecule: ribosomal RNA, 449 nt
Filed under: uncultured bacterium
Lineage: Bacteria
Description: partial 16S ribosomal RNA
Rfam family: Bacterial small subunit ribosomal RNA
Source: RNAcentral
AGCGAACGCUGGCGGCAGGCUUAACACAUGCAAGUCGAGCGCCGUAGCAAUACGGAGCGGCAGACGGGUGAGUAACGCGUGGGAACGUGCCCUAAGGUACGGAACAACCAAGGGAAACUUUGGCUAAUACCGUAUGUGCCCGAGAGGGGAAAGAUUUAUCGCCUUAGGAGCGGCCCGCGUCUGAUUAGCUAGUUGGUGAGGUAAUGGCUCACCAAGGCGACGAUCAGUAGCUGGUCUGAGAGGAUGAUCAGCCACACUGGGACUGAGACACGGCCCAGACUCCUACGGGAGGCAGCAGUGGGGAAUAUUGGACAAUGGGCGCAAGCCUGAUCCAGCCAUGCCGCGUGAGUGAUGAAGGCCUUAGGGUUGUAAAGCUCUUUCGACGGGGAAGAUAAUGACGGUACCCGUAGAAGAAGCCCCGGCUAACUUCGUGCCAGCCGCCGCAGUAA